Molecule: ribosomal RNA, 229 nt
Filed under: uncultured bacterium
Lineage: Bacteria
Description: partial 16S ribosomal RNA
Rfam family: Bacterial small subunit ribosomal RNA
Source: RNAcentral
UGCGUAGGCGGAUUAAUAAGUCAGUGGUGAAAUCUUUCGGCUCAACCGAGAAACUGCCAUUGAUACUGUUAAUCUUGAGUUCGGUUGAGGUAGGCGGAAUGUGUAAUGUAGCGGUGAAAUGCUUAGAUAUUACACAGAACACCAAUUGCGUAGGCAGCUUACUAGACCAACACUGACGCUGAGGCACGAAAGCGUGGGGAGCGAACAGGAUUAGAUACCCUGGUAGUCC